GGAAGUAUAACUCAGUUGGUCAGAGUAGUCGGCUCAUAACCGACCUGUCACAGGUUCGAGUCCUGUUGCUUCCA
RNAcentral lists this transfer RNA (74 nucleotides) under Anaerostipes hadrus. RNAcentral's name for it is "tRNA-Ile". It matches the Rfam family "tRNA". Rfam says of the family: Transfer RNA (tRNA) molecules are approximately 80 nucleotides in length. Their secondary structure includes four short double-helical elements and three loops (D, anti-codon, and T loops). The record is from RNAcentral. Lineage: Bacteria; Bacillati; Bacillota; Clostridia; Lachnospirales; Lachnospiraceae. RNAcentral also lists the same sequence under 3 other names.